This 633-nucleotide ribosomal RNA is filed under the name uncultured Bacteroidota bacterium. RNAcentral's name for it is "bacterial SSU rRNA". It matches the Rfam family "Bacterial small subunit ribosomal RNA", at positions 57 to 681 of the family's 1533-position model. Lineage: Bacteria; Pseudomonadati; Bacteroidota. The record is from RNAcentral.
GCAAGUCGAACGGUAACAUAGAGAAGCUUGCUUUUCUGAUGACGAGUGGCGCACGGGUGCGUAACGCGUAUAGAACCUACCCUUUACAGGGGGAUAGCCCGGAGAAAUUCGGAUUAAUACCCCAUAGUACUAUUUAGAGGCAUCUUUAGAUGGUUAAAGUUUUUACGGUAAAGGAUGGCUAUGCGUCCUAUUAGUUCGUAGGUGAGGUAACGGCUCACCUAGACUUCGAUAGGUAGGGGCCCUGAGAGGGGGAUCCCCCACACUGGUACUGAGACACGGACCAGACUCCUACGGGAGGCAGCAGUGAGGAAUAUUGGACAAUGGUCGUAAGACUGAUCCAGCCAUGCCGCGUGCAGGAAGACUGCCCUAUGGGUUGUAAACUGCUUUUUUACGGGAAGAAUAAUACCCACGUGUGGGUAGAUGACGGUACCGUACGAAUAAGGACCGGCUAACUCCGUGCCAGCAGCCGCGGUAAUACGGAGGGUCCGAGCGUUAUCCGGAAUCAUUGGGUUUAAAGGGUCCGCAGGCGGGCCAGUAAGUCAGGGGUGAAAGUUUGCGGCUUAACCGUAAAAUUGCCUUUGAUACUGCUGGUCUUGAGUUGCGGUGAAGUGGCCGGAAUAUGUGGUGUAGCGG